This 497-nucleotide ribosomal RNA is filed under the name uncultured bacterium. RNAcentral describes it as "partial 16S ribosomal RNA". It matches the Rfam family "Bacterial small subunit ribosomal RNA", at positions 28 to 507 of the family's 1533-position model. The record is from RNAcentral.
GACGAACGCUGGCGGCGUGCCUAAUACAUGCAAGUUGAGCGCUGAAGGUUGGUACUUGUACCAACUGGAUGAGCAGCGAACGGGUGAGUAACGCGUGGGGAAUCUGCCUUUGAGCGGGGGACAACAUUUGGAAACGAAUGCUAAUACCGCAUAAAAACUUUAAACACAAGUUUUAAGUUUGAAAGAUGCAAUUGCAUCACUCAAAGAUGAUCCCGCGUUGUAUUAGCUAGUUGGUGAGGUAAAGGCUCACCAAGGCGAUGAUACAUAGCCGACCUGAGAGGGUGAUCGGCCACAUUGGGACUGGGACACGGCCCAAACUCCUACGGGAGGCAGCAGUAGGGAAUCUUCGGCAAUGGACGAAAGUCCGAACGAGCAACGCCGCGUGAGUGAAGAAGGUUUUCGGAUCGUAAAACUCUGUUGGUAGAGAAGAACGUUGGUGAGAGUGGAAAGCUCAUCAAGUGACGGUAACUACCCAGAAAGGGACGGCUAACUACGUG